This 1937-nucleotide long non-coding RNA is filed under the name Homo sapiens (human). RNAcentral describes it as "non-protein coding ST3GAL6-AS1:16". Lineage: Eukaryota; Metazoa; Chordata; Mammalia; Primates; Hominidae. The record is from RNAcentral.
CUCCCGGAGGGUGAGGCGUUGGGGACCAGGCGGGAGCACAGCCGAACCCCUACCUUUCGGGCGGGGCGGACACCAGCCGCGCGCCCUCGCCGGGCGCCGGGACCGGAAAAUCACCGCGAAGGGAGGGACGAGGAAAGGCGGCGGGUGGCUUCAGGACAAGGACUUUGUGAUUACAUUGGGCCCAUCCAGAUCAUCCAGGAUCAUCUUCCCAUCUCAAGAUUCUUCACUUAAUCACAUCUGCAAAAUUCCUUUUGCUGUCUGUGAGAUAUCGGUGGGCGAGGAUGUGAUGCCUGAAGAUGUGGCAUCUACCUUGAAACAGUCAAGGACCUGAGGAUGAAGCCAGCAUCUGAGGAAGACAGACAGAAAGGAUCUGGAUACAUCAUGAGCCUGAAAAGUAUCUUGCAUACACAACUGGCAGCACAGAAUCCUGACAAACCUCUCAUCAGAAAUCAACCACAGACUCUUUAUGCUCUUACCAAAAUGCUGGCUUUGAGAACUAAUUAUGAAUGAAAAUUACUGAUGUGAUUUUCAGUCUAGGGAAGAAUAUCAAGUUAAACUUUAUGAAGUCCAAGACAAUGGGAAAAGAAGAGGUGUUCCUGUCCAGGCCCUCUUCCAGUUAGAAGGUGAUGGUUUCCAGAAGUCUGCACCUGUAUUUCAAUUACCUAUAAUGGAGUUUAUAGGACUAAACUAUAUUCACUAUAUUUUCUUAUUUUUGUGUGUGUGUUUGAUGUGCUGGCAACUGGGGACUUGGUAACUGGGGAGGGAUAGCUCUUCUCAGGAAGAGCUAAUUCUUAGAGAUACAGGGAGCAUGCUUUUCAUAUGCAAACUACUCAAACUGGAGUCCACACUUCCCCAACCUCCUCUAUAGGACUCUUACUCUCCUGCCCGAUAUUCCCCUGCUCUAAUCAUCUUGGGGCCAGGUACCAGGCAACUCAGGACGGCCACUACACCUCCAGAGCCCACUGACAUUAUUAAAACUAGACAAUUCUAAGCUGCUUGCCCUACCUUGACCUUAUUCCUUUUGUUGCAAAACGCAAUAAAGGGUCUUGCCACAUUUUCCUUCUGCUCCCUCUGCCUCCGGACUGACCCUGGUGCUUUCCUUUGUGGGCCUUCGUGGCUUACCUCGUGUUUCUAGGAACCUGCAAGUGUAAAAACUUCUUUCUUCAUGACAGUCAUUUCCAUGACUGCUGCCUUACUAUACCUGAUUUAAACAAAUCCUGAGCACAUUUUAAAACAUAAAUUCAACAGCUGGACCUGCUAUGCAGAGCAAUUCAGGCGGAGGGAAUGGCUCAUGCACACUCUCCAAGUACUGUUAGGUAUGAGUUCUAAAUUUCUCUUCAAAGAAUCAAUAUGUCAGUAUGUUCAGUUCUUUGCCUUCUACUGUUAAACUUAACUUCCUCGUAAAGCAACCUUUUUCCAUUACCUGCUCCACCCUGACUCAUUCUGAUUACCUGCUCAUUCUCCACCCUGGCUUACUCUGAUUUCCUGCUCUGCCCUGUAACCAUUUUUCCCGCCAAACCACUCACCCUGUCACUCUCUUUAAAUUAGCCAAUUGGAAUUAGUUUAGCCUGUGCAGUCUAACCCAAGCCAAUAGGGGAACCAUACAGCAGCAGGGACCACGUGCCUCAGGGAUAAGAACCCCUUCCCCUCCCUUGUCCAAGUGUGCGCUCACGAUUGCUCCAUCUGUAAGGGUGCACCCUUCUAUAGAAGUACGUUGUCUUGCUGAGAAUUAAAAAGAAAAUUUUAUAUUCGAGCGCUAUUUCUUUUGCGGCACUGAAACUUUAUUUAUAAUAGUAUGAAUGAGCCUGGCAUGUGCAGGGAAGAACCAGCAGAUCGGUCUGGCUGGAGCAUAUCAUACGAGGGGAGCGUAAUGGGCAAGGAAGCCAAAGAGGAGGUAGGAGCUAGAUCGUUCAUCACGCAGGGCCUCGAAGGCAAGG